GAUGAACGCUGGCGGCGUGCCUAAUACAUGCAAGUCGAGCGAACGGACGAGAAGCUUGCUUCUCUGAUGUUAGCGGCGGACGGGUGAGUAACACGUGGAUAACCUACCUAUAAGACUGGGAUAACUUCGGGAAACCGGAGCUAAUACCGGAUAAUAUUUUGAACCGCAUGGUUCAAAAGUGAAAGACGGUCUUGCUGUCACUUAUAGAUGGAUCCGCGCUGCAUUAGCUAGUUGGUAAGGUAACGGCUUACCAAGGCAACGAUGCAUAGCCGACCUGAGAGGGUGAUCGGCCACACUGGAACUGAGACACGGUCCAGACUCCUACGGGAGGCAGCAGUAGGGAAUCUUCCGCAAUGGGCGAAAGCCUGACGGAGCAACGCCGCGUGAGUGAUGAAGGUCUUCGGAUCGUAAAACUCUGUUAUUAGGGAAGAACAUAUGUGUAAGUAACUGUGCACAUCUUGACGGUACCUAAUCAGAAAGCCACGGCUAACUACGUGCCAGCAGCCGCGGUAAUACGUAGGUGGCAAGCGUUAUCCGGAAUUAUUGGGCGUAAAGCGCGCGUAGGCGGUUUUUUAAGUCUGAUGUGAAAGCCCACGGCUCAACCGUGGAGGGUCAUUGGAAACUGGAAAACUUGAGUGCAGAAGAGGAAAGUGGAAUUCCAUGUGUAGCGGUGAAAUGCGCAGAGAUAUGGAGGAACACCAGUGGCGAAGGCGACUUUCUGGUCUGUAACUGACGCUGAUGUGCGAAAGCGUGGGGAUCAAACAGGAUUAGAUACCCUGGUAGUCCACGCCGUAAACGAUGAGUGCUAAGUGUUAGGGGGUUUCCGCCCCUUAGUGCUGCAGCUAACGCAUUAAGCACUCCGCCUGGGGAGUACGACCGCAAGGUUGAAACUCAAAGGAAUUGACGGGGACCCGCACAAGCGGUGGAGCAUGUGGUUUAAUUCGAAGCAACGCGAAGAACCUUACCAAAUCUUGACAUCCUUUGACAACUCUAGAGAUAGAGCCUUCCCCUUCGGGGGACAAAGUGACAGGUGGUGCAUGGUCGUCGUCAGCUCGUGUCGUGAGAUGUUGGGUUAAGUCCCGCAACGAGCGCAACCCUUAAGCUUAGUUGCCAUCAUUAAGUUGGGCACUCUAAGUUGGCUGCCGGUGACAAACCGGAGGAAGGUGGGGAUGACGUCAAAUCGUCAUGCCCCUUAUGAUUUGGGCUACACACGUGCUACAAUGGACAAUACAAAGGGCAGCGAGACCGCGAGGUCAAGCAAAUCCCAUAAAGUUGUUCUCAGUUCGGAUUGUAGUCUGCAACUCGACUACAUGAAGCUGGAAUCGCUAGUAAUCGUAGAUCAGCAUGCUACGGUGAAUACGUUCCCGGGUCU
RNAcentral lists this ribosomal RNA (1372 nucleotides) under uncultured bacterium. RNAcentral's name for it is "bacterial SSU rRNA". It matches the Rfam family "Bacterial small subunit ribosomal RNA", at positions 28 to 1381 of the family's 1533-position model. The record is from RNAcentral.